This is a long non-coding RNA of Thalassophryne amazonica, 226 nucleotides long. RefSeq lists it as uncharacterized. The transcript has 3 exons. Lineage: Eukaryota; Metazoa; Chordata; Actinopteri; Batrachoidiformes; Batrachoididae. The record is from RefSeq and is a predicted model, not a curated record.
CAGCUGUAUUCACUUUUCUUAUAAUUUAAUGUAUUCUCUCAUCAUUUUAUCCUUAUACAUUUUUUUGAACUUGUAAACAUUUGUACAACAUUUAAUUUCUUCAGUCAGUGCAUUCUAAAACUUAACUCCAUACACAGAGGGACACUUUGGUUUCAUAAUGAUUUGUGAGAACUUAACCUGAAAGUUAUAUUUUCUUGUAUGGCAAGUGGCCUGAACAUUUUGAAUU